RNAcentral lists this small RNA (864 nucleotides) under Pan troglodytes (chimpanzee). Its description in RNAcentral is "retained intron". The record is from RNAcentral. Lineage: Eukaryota; Metazoa; Chordata; Mammalia; Primates; Hominidae.
CGGCGACAUGGAGAGCGGGGCCUACGGCGCGGCCAAGGCGGGCGGCUCCUUCGACCUGCGGCGCUUCCUGACGCAGCCGCAGGUGGUGGUGCGCGCCGUGUGCUUGGUCUUCGCCUUGAUCGUGUUCUCCUGCAUCUAUGGUGAGGGCUAUAGCAAUGCCCACGAGUCUAAGCAGAUGUACUGCGUGUUCAACCGCAACGAGGAUGCCUGCCGCUAUGGCAGUGCCAUCGGGGUGCUGGCCUUCCUGGCCUCGGCCUUCUUCUUGGUGGUCGACGCGUAUUUCCCCCAGAUCAGCAACGCCACUGACCGCAAGUACCUGGUCAUUGGUGACCUGCUCUUCUCAGGUAUCUGCCUGUAGCACCUCCAUUUGAUCUUGGGGGAGGCAUUAACUCUAGGGUUCCGCAGCUGGGAGGGUCUCGGCCUCUCUGGGAGGGGCAGGGAGCAGCUCACUCCUCCAGGGCAUUUUUAGGAAAGGGUUUUCAGCUAGUGUUUCUCCUUGCUUGAAUGGCACCAGCCCUGCCUGGGGUAGCUAGAAGCUGAGUGGACCUGCAGCACACCCGAACAGACGGGCUUUGCCUCUGCCCCUUUUGUCCCCUAGGCUGUCUGCUGUGACCCACCCUGCCAAGGCCCGAGUGUGGGGGACUUUGAAGGUGGAUCCCGGCCCGGCUUCCAAGUCCUCCCCUCCAUAGUGUGGAAGCUCCCCCGGGAGGUCCCUGCCCUACCUGCCCGCGUCCCCUCCCAGAGUCCUGGAAAGCCCCUCCCUUUCCAUGGAACUGACGCUUCACCCGUCCUCCCCCAGCUCUCUGGACCUUCCUGUGGUUUGUUGGUUUCUGCUUCCUCACCAACCAGUGGGCGGUCACCAAC